Molecule: ribosomal RNA, 321 nt
Filed under: uncultured bacterium
Lineage: Bacteria
Description: bacterial SSU rRNA
Rfam family: Bacterial small subunit ribosomal RNA
Source: RNAcentral
GAUGAACGCUAGCUAUAGGCUUAACACAUGCGAGUCGAGGGGAAACGGCAUGAGAUGCUUGCAUCUUAUGGACGUCGACCGGCGUACGGGUGAGUAACGCGUAUCCAACCUGCCCGCGAGUAGGGGAUAACCCGCAGAAAUGCGGACUAAUACCCUAUAUAGUCCAAAGGUAGCCACUACCAGAUUUGGACGAAAGAUUUAUCGCUCGCGGAUGGGGAUGCGUCUGAUUAGCUUGUUGGCGGGGUAACGGCCCACCAAGGCAUCGAUCAGUAGGGGUUCUGAGAGGAAGGUCCCCCACAUAGGAACUGAGACACGGUCCUA